AUGCACCAUUUACAAGCACCGAAAGUAGUCUUUUAUACACAUGUGCGGGAAAAACUUUCGCGCAUUGCUAGCGGUGUGAGAAAAAAACCUUCGCACAUUGCUAGCGGUGUGCGAAAAAGACGGCCGCGCUUUUAUCCACAGAUCGGAAGAACGUCG
This is a long non-coding RNA of Neodiprion fabricii, 156 nucleotides long. RefSeq lists it as uncharacterized. Lineage: Eukaryota; Metazoa; Arthropoda; Insecta; Hymenoptera; Diprionidae. The transcript has 3 exons. The record is from RefSeq and is a predicted model, not a curated record.